This is an RNA transcript of Alnus glutinosa, 3135 nucleotides long. It is a transcript of the gene named serine/threonine-protein kinase TOUSLED, with no coding region annotated. The record is from RefSeq and is a predicted model, not a curated record. NCBI's taxonomy places the organism in Eukaryota, Viridiplantae, Streptophyta, Magnoliopsida, Fagales, Betulaceae. The transcript is spliced from 18 exons.
GAUUGACAAGGGUGAGGCCGAAGUCCCAUCCCUGCAGGCUGCAGGUUCCAUCACAUACCUUCCCUGGAUUUAGGGCACAUCUGCCCCUUUUACCCCACUAACACCACCUCGUACUCCAUGACCUCAUUCCAUUGCUCUUUUCCCCUGCCCAAAAACAACACAAAGACAAAUAUAUGAAACAAACCAAACAAGUACACAGAAAGAAAAAAUCUCCUUUCUUAGUUCCCUUCCAUCCCUGGCUUGCUCUGAUUCUCCCACCCUUUACCAAAAUUCAAAACCCUAAUUUCCUCCAUCUCCCAAUCAAAUUCUCAAUUUCUCUAUCUCUAUCUUUUUCUUGGUCUCCAAAACUGCUCUAUUUUGCUGUCUAAUCCUAUAUUUAGCUUAUUCUCACCAAAGUGUGGACUCAAAUCCACUCUUUCUCCCCAAAAAACCCAACAUUCUAGGGUUUCAUUGAACCUAGAAUCCCACUCCAAGCCAAAUUCUAUACCUGCUCAAAUGAUCUGAGAAGUCGCUGUUUUUUGUAAAACAGCGAGACAUACAGUAGCAAUGUCGGACGACAUGCUAAUACAUUUCUCGUCCAACUCCUCUAACCAGUCGGACCAGUCCCUGCCCACCAAGAUUGCCAAGCUCGAGGCCCGCAUGGUCAGCAAGGCCUCCUCGGCCCCGCCGGCUCAACAGCAGCAACAGCCGCCACCAGCGCCGCCACAGCAGCAGCAGCAGCCAACUUGGGCCUCUGUCUCUUCGGGGGCGGCUGCCAAAUUCGGAGGAACCGAGGAGUUGGCCGAGCCUUCCAGUUCGAGCGACUCCGACUACGAUAAUGGAGGGGGGUUUCUAAUACAAGCCAACACACAGAAGCGCCAGAAACUUCAAGAAGAUGACAACUCAACUGUUUUUGAAUGUGUUGAGAAUGGAGGGGAGUUUCUAAUACAAGCAAAUGCUCAAAAGAGCCAGAAACUUCAAGAAGAUAAUAACUCGACUGUAUAUGAGCAUGUUGAGGCAGUGGCUGAUGGGAGGCAAAUGGUUGUUGAAACCAUGGAAUCUAAGGCCAAUUCUGAAGUAAGUAGGAAAAAACAAGGUCGCGGAAGGGGGCAGUCUGUUUCUGGCCGGGGGCGUAAUUCUAGAAUUAAUGAUCAGAUAAGAUCACAAAAUUCUUCAACUGUUUCACCUUCAAAUGGCCAGUUUGAGAACUCAUAUCUUAAGGAUAGCAGGCCCAAAGAGCAGUUUCGGAGUGAUAAUCGCUCUCCAUUAGAGGAGGAGGUUGCAUCUCUUCGGGCAAAAGUUGCAGCACUAGAGGAGGACUUGCGAAAAUCACGUCAAGAGGCCUCUGAUUAUCAAAGUCUUUGCCGCCAGUUAGAAAAGGAACUGAAGGACCUCAAAGACUAUGAACAGCAAAUGAAGCCUAAGAGAACAAAAAUAAUAUCUGAUCUGUUGAUAGCUGUUUCAAAAGCUGAGAGACAGGAAGCUAGGUUGAAGGUGCGGCAGGACUCUUUGAGACUUGGCAAUGUGGGUGUAAUCAGAGCAGGAACCGUCAUAUCAGAGACAUGGGAAGAUGGACAAGUGCUAAAAGAUCUCAAUGCUCAUCUAAAGCAAUUACUUGAAGCCAAGGAGACCGUUGAGCGGCAGCGGAAAACAUUGAAGAAAAGACAGUCUGAUAAGGGCGACACAGUUGAUGCUGAAACAGGAGUGCAAGAAGAAGAUUUUCUCAUCCAAGAUGAGAUCUAUAAAUCCCGUCUAGCCAGCAUCAAACGUGAGGAGGAAGUUAUAAUGCGUGAGAGGGAUCGGUAUGAACUGGAGAAGGGAAGGCUCAUUCGUGAAAUGAAACGCAUAAGAGAUGAGGAUGGUUCUCGUUUUAAUAAUUUUCAGAUUCUUAACCAUAGAUAUGCCCUUCUAAACCUUCUCGGGAAAGGAGGAUUCAGCGAGGUUUACAAGCAGGCUUAUGACUUGGUAGAGCAUAGAUACGUUGCAUGUAAGCUUCAUGGUUUGAAUGCUCAGUGGAGUGAAGAGAAGAAGCAAAGUUACAUACGACAUGCAAUUCGGGAGUACAAUAUUCACAAGACCUUGGUGCAUCAUCACAUUGUUCAGCUUUGGGACACUUUUGAGAUUGAUCAGAAUACAUUCGGCACUGUCUUGGAGUACUGUAGUGGGAAAGAUCUUGAUGCUGUUCUUAAAGCAACUCCUGUAUUGCCUGAGAGGGAAGCAAGGAUAAUUAUCGUACAGAUAUUUCAAGGCCUUGUAUACUUGAACAAAAGAACACUGAAAAUUAUCCAUUAUGAUUUGAAGCCUGGAAAUGUUCUAAUUGAUGAGUUUGGCGUUGCAAAAGUGACUGAUUUUGGCCUUAGCAAGAUAGUGGAAGAUGACGUUGGAUCCCAGGGCAUGGAACUUACAUCCCAGGGAGCUGGAACAUAUUGGUAUUUGCCACCUGAAUGCUUCGAGCUCAGCAAGACACCUCUCAUAUCAUCAAAGGUUGAUGUUUGGUCGGCUGGUAUUCUGUUUUACCAAAUGCUUUUUGGCAGACGGCCUUUUGGGCAUGACCAGACCCAAGAGCGAAUACUGCGUGAAGACACAAUUAUCAAAGCGCGCAAGGUUGACUUUCCUUCUAGACCUGCUGUCUCAAAUGAGGCAAAGGAACUAAUUCGGCGAUGUCUAACAUAUAACCAAGCAGAGAGGCCAGAUGUUUUAACUAUUGCUCAAGACCCAUAUCUUACAUACGCAAAGAAGUAAUAAUGUACAGACACAGGUAAAGGAGCACACAGGGCAGGCAGUAAGUCCAGAGUCUCCGUUGUUCAACAUUGAAUGGAGAAAUUUAAGGCAAUACCUGUAUGGAAUUUUUUGUAUAGUUUGUAAAGGUUGUCGUUACUGUUUACCGGCGUUGUGGCAGGGGGUGUCUCCCGUGAUCCUGGUUGAUUGACCUGCUUUCAGAAAAAUGAAAAAAAAAAGAAAAAAAAAAAAAGAAAAAAGAAGAAGAAGAAGAAGAAGAAGAAGAAAAGGAAAGGUAGGUUUAUUUAAACGAAUUAAAUUGGGAUUUUUGUUUUUCAUGGUAAGUAAUGGGGGCAUAUUAAAAGUAAGCUCAACUCUUAUGAGGAUGUUGGGAACAAAAUUUAUUUUGCUCAUCGAGUAUUUUAGCCAGAAAGAAAA